AGUUGAUAGUAUAGAAAUAAACUUUCUAUAUCAAUCAAAGUGACCAUCUAGCAAUGAUACCCGACAUCCGGAUAGGUCGAAAGAUUGUAAAGUAACAUUGAAGAACCUAUUGACAUAUGGUUACCGUAUAAUUCAUCUCUUUGAUCCUAAUGCUCAAAGUGACUAAAGAGUUUAACUGUCAAUCCUGAAAAGAUCAUCCACAUUGUGUUUCAAC
This 214-nucleotide long non-coding RNA is filed under the name Elaeis guineensis (African oil palm). RNAcentral's name for it is "long non-coding RNA (EGUI_LNC036671)". Lineage: Eukaryota; Viridiplantae; Streptophyta; Magnoliopsida; Arecales; Arecaceae. The record is from RNAcentral.